Molecule: RNA transcript, 2038 nt
Organism: Helianthus annuus (common sunflower)
Lineage: Eukaryota; Viridiplantae; Streptophyta; Magnoliopsida; Asterales; Asteraceae
Gene name: protein GAMETE EXPRESSED 1-like
Exons: 5
Source: RefSeq, a predicted model, not a curated record
CUCCUUACAUAAUCCUCCGAAUAUAAACAUCAGUUUAUUCAGCUGAAUCGUUCUCCUUCAAUUAGGCUUUAUGAUUGAAUCUCUACAGCCACAAAGGAAUUCAAUUCUCCAUCAUUUGUUACUGGUCGCCUUGGAAAUCCUCCUCCCACAUUAACUAUCCAUGUUACCAUCGUCACUUCUAAAUCCCACCACAACCCUAACUGAAUGUUGCCCUUGAAGCGUCGUGCGUUUCCAUCCCACCCACUCAAUCUUAGGUUUAGCGUGUCCUUUAUUAAUUCAACAUCCCCUUGAUUUUGAUGUAUUCACUGAGAAGAUUGAAAGAGCAAUCAAGAGGCAAAAAGUCGUCCGAGAGCACCUUCAUCUGUCGUCCUUUGAUUCUUCAAUCUCUGUCGUCCGAGAGCACCUUCAUCUGUCGUCCUUUGAUUCUUCAAUCUCUAUAAUUUUAUUCUCACCAAACUGUUUCUUAUAGUUUGCAAUUGAUCAUGAUGAUGAACAGAAGAAACUGUUGAUGUUGAAUGAUGAUGAGUCCACACCAAAAGAUAAAGGUUAUGGUUGGGGACCAAAAUGUGGGAAUUAUUAGAUUAAUCAGGUUAGUAUGUCAUUGUAGUUGGUGUUAUGUGCUUGAGAUUUGUUUAUUGUGCCUAAUUUUGCCUAUUCACGGCUCGUUGUCUUCUAUUGAUGAUCAAACACGGCAACUGGCUCAAACAUCAAAAGAUGUCGAACAACGUGUUAAUACCGUGUUAGAGCAUUCACAGUCGAUUUACGAACAGUCUCUUAAGGUAUCAGAUUCUCAAAUGGAGCUGCACAAUGGACAAAUAAAAAUGAGUGAAAGGAUUUAUGAAGGAAUGUCGAUGCUUAACGAAUCUGACAAUAAGUUGGGUGAAGAAAUGGUUAGUUUAAGGAGCGAAGCAGUUGAAAUAGAAAAGGAAAUUGGUAAAGUAGGAGAUGCGAUGUUUAUGAAGAUGAAUAGUUUACAAAGUAAAGCCAAUGAUAUCGAGAACAUAACGGAAACUUCGUUAGACAGACAAAAGCAACUUCUUGAAAGCCAGAGUUCCACACUCAAGGUUCUCCGGACAGUCACAAGGUUUCAGUCACAAGCACUAGAAGAAAGCAGGGGAAGUCUGCAACAGUUGAUUAAGCUUGGUCAAAGUCAACAAUAGGAACUGAUACAAAGGCAAGAACAGCUUAAAAAAUCUCAUGAGGAUUUAGUUGAGAAUUCGAAAACUAUAUUAGAUGCUCAGGUUCGCCUUUCCGAUUUAGUUGUCUUUUUAGUUAAAUGCACGUUUAAAUAUUCUGAUGAAUUCGUUUGUAUUCGACAUGAUAUUUUCAAGUCAAAGCAAUCAAACAUGUUUGUUGCCAUCGACAAGCUUUUUACUCUACACAAUGCAAUUUUGCUUAAAUCGCGAGUCAUCAAAGCUUUCCUUGUGUAUUCUCUAUUAAUAUUCACUAUUUACAUGUUUACGAGUACAAAACAAACCUACAGUCUGAGAUCCAGGCUAUAUGUAGGGUUAUGAGCGAUAUUCUUGAUUGAAUUUAUGGUGCUUCGAUAUGGAAAUGAUAUUGAACGACAAUCGUGGAUUAUAACCAUUGCUCGGUUAAUAUUUGUGGUUCUCGCGUCAUGUCAACUUUUGUACGCCAUUUAUACAUACAGAGACUAUCAGACAUUGAACCAUGAAAUGCCACAAUCACUUAUUGAGAAGGUUAAUGGAAUGCAAGGAAAGAAACAAUUUUUAUGUGAAGAUGAUGAUGAUAGUGAUGUUGACUGGUCUUCAUGGGUUGACAAAGAUAUAUCUGAUAAUGAAUUGGAAGAUCUUGACUACCGUAUGCCCCUGGAGCAACUCGACAAGGCUUCAAUCACCCCUAGAGCGUACAAUCUCCGUAACCGACUUAGUCGAUAGCUUAAUUAUUGUUUUGUAAUUAAUUAAAGAAGCAUGCAUGCAUGUAUGUAUCCAUAGAUAUAACUAAUGAAUUAUCCAUGUAUGUCAAAGUUCAUUGUUUAUUUUGCAAUAUACCAUUCUGAAAGUCAGUUACCACUAAA